GGGUGAUGAAAAUGCUCAAAGUUAGAUUACGGUGAUGGUUGCGCGCCUCUGUGAAUAUACUCAAAAGCCUUGAAAACAAAAGUUGAGGUGCUACAAACUAAAGGAUCUAAUCGCAGUCACAGAACAGUUGCCCAUGCUUAGUGGCAAGAGGCUGUAUCCUGAGGACUUUUGUGUUUCCAGAUUUCUCCAAAGGAGAAUUACAGUUUGGCAGGUGGAAUGAGGGUCAGGUAGAAAAGGCUGACGAUGCAACUAACUUUAAGGAGGGGGAGGACAAAGGGUGAAGACCAGGUCAGUGUGGAGAAAGGGAGGUUGUAGGAUGUUAGUGCUUCAGAGGAAAACAACAACGAGCUUUUCUCUCCUCUCUGGGGAUCCUGGUCAGCUUCACAUUGGUGGCCCAGAAAUCAGUCUCAGCCCCUCCCAGUAUGGACCGCUCCUUGACAGCCGCCCUCUCUCCUAUAAAGGCAGAUGCAAGCUACGUUUGUGUGGGGAUGACACAGCACAAAGGCCCUUGCCAGAUGUGAGCCCCUUGAUAUUGGAUUUCCCAGUCUUCAGAACUGUCGAAAAGCCCAGGAAUGUUCUAGAAUAUAUGAUUGGCGAGGACCCUCACUGGUGCCAUCCACAUCUUCUCUUCAGGACUGGGAACGUUGGCAGCUGAUGAUCCUCUGGGAAGUUCCUUGGUUGGUUAAAUUCCUGAGAGAUGGAUCUUUCAGUCUCCUGCUUUCACAGUAUAUGCCUGGCUGUUUGCAUCCUGAGAACCAAGCAGAGCAAGGCUGGAGAAACAGCAUUCAUGAUGUGAACUGCUAAUGAAUUUUUCUGCCUGUAUUAGGAAAUCCUCAGCCUCAAAUGUACUUAGUCUUCUAGUAAAGAGAUUGUCAAAUUUCCUUCUCCAGAGAAGCCACUUUAGUAUUCUUGCAGAAUAGGGAAGGGGAUGGGACCCAACUUCUUAAGUAAACUUUCAACCAAUCCUCUUGUUUUGAGCCUCACUUUCUUUCUAC
Molecule: long non-coding RNA, 995 nt
Filed under: Homo sapiens (human)
Lineage: Eukaryota; Metazoa; Chordata; Mammalia; Primates; Hominidae
Description: HSALNT0347975
Source: RNAcentral